Molecule: ribosomal RNA, 578 nt
Filed under: uncultured bacterium
Lineage: Bacteria
Description: bacterial SSU rRNA
Rfam family: Bacterial small subunit ribosomal RNA
Source: RNAcentral
ACGGGUGAGUAACACGUGGGCAAUCUGCCCUUCACUCUGGGACAAGCCCUGGAAACGGGGUCUAAUACCGGGUAUCACUUCCACUCGCAUGGGUGGGGGUUGAAAGCUCCGGCGGUGAAGGAUGAGCCCGCGGCCUGUCAGCUUGUUGGUGAGGUAACGGCUCACCAAGGCGACGACGGGUAGCCGGCCUGAGAGGGCGACCGGCCACACUGGGACUGAGACACGGCCCAGACUCCUACGGGAGGCAGCAGUGGGGAAUAUUGCACAAUGGGCGAAAGCCUGAUGCAGCGACGCCGCGUGAGGGAUGACGGCCUUCGGGUUGUAAACCUCUUUCAGCAGGGAAGAAGCGAAAGUGACGGUACCUGCAGAAGAAGCGCCGGCUAACUACGUGCCAGCAGCCGCGGUAAUACGUAGGGCGCAGGCGUUGUCCGGAAUUAUUGGGCGUAAAGAGCUCGUAGGCGGUCUGUCGCGUCGGAUGUGAAAGCCCGGGGCUUAACCCCGGGUCUGCAUUCGAUACGGGCAGACUAGAGUGUGGUAGGGGAGAUCGGAAUUCCUGGUGUAGCGGUGAAAUGCGCAGA